UGGGGAAUAUUGCACAAUGGGCGCAAGCCUGAUGCAGCCAUGCCGCGUGUAUGAAGAAGGCCUUCGGGUUGUAAAGUACCUUCAGUCGGGAGGAAGGUGGUAAGGUUAAUAACCUUGGCAAUUGACGUUACCGACAGAAGAAGCACCGGCUAACUCCGUGCCAGCAGCCGCGGUAAUACGGAGGGUGCAAGCGUUAAUCGGAAUUACUGGGCGUAAAGCGCACGCAGGCGGUUGAUUGAGUCAGAUGUGAAAUCCCCGGGCUUAACCCGGGAAUUGCAUCUGAUACUGGUCAGCUAGAGUCUUGUAGAGGGGGGUAGAAUUCCAUGUGUAGCGGUGAAAUGCGUAGAGAUGUGGAGGAAUACCGGUGGCGAAGGCGGCCCCCUGGACAAAGACUGACGCUCAGGUGCGAAAGCGGGGGGAGCAAACAGG
RNAcentral lists this ribosomal RNA (429 nucleotides) under Chloroflexota bacterium. RNAcentral's name for it is "Chloroflexi bacterium partial 16S ribosomal RNA". It matches the Rfam family "Bacterial small subunit ribosomal RNA", at positions 355 to 776 of the family's 1533-position model. Lineage: Bacteria; Bacillati; Chloroflexota. The record is from RNAcentral.